RNAcentral lists this ribosomal RNA (423 nucleotides) under uncultured bacterium. RNAcentral's name for it is "bacterial SSU rRNA". It matches the Rfam family "Bacterial small subunit ribosomal RNA", at positions 358 to 773 of the family's 1533-position model. The record is from RNAcentral.
GGAAUAUUGGACAAUGGGCGCAAGCCUGAUCCAGCCAUGCCGCGUUUGUGAAGAAGGCCUUCGGGCUGUAAAGCACUUUUGUUGGGGAAGAAACCGACCGGAUUAAUACUUCGGUUGAAUGACGGUACCCAACGAAUAAGCACCGGCUACCUUCGUGCCAGCAGCCGCGGUAAUACGAAGGGUCCAAGCGUUACACGGAAUUACUGGGCGGAAAGCGUGCGUAGGCGGUUAGUUAAGUCUGCUGUGAAAGCCCUGGGCUCAACCUGGGAACUGCAGUGGACACUGGCUAGCUAGAGUGUGUCAGAGGAUGGUGGAAUUCCCGGUGUAGCGGUGAAAUGCGUAGAGAUCGGGAGGAACACCAGUGGCGAAGGCGGCCAUCUGGGACAACACUGACGCUGAGGCACGAAAGCGUGGGGAGCAAAC